This 774-nucleotide ribosomal RNA is filed under the name uncultured archaeon. RNAcentral's name for it is "bacterial SSU rRNA". It matches the Rfam family "Archaeal small subunit ribosomal RNA", at positions 19 to 768 of the family's 1478-position model. The record is from RNAcentral.
GGACCCCACUGCUAUCGGGAUGGGACUAAGACAUGCUAGUCGAGCGUCUCCAAGCUAUGGAAGAGACGCGGCAUACAGCUCAGUAACACGUGGCUAACCUGCCCUUGGGACAAGGACAACUCCGGGAAACUGGGGCUAAUCCCUGAUAGGUGAGAACUCCUGGAAUGGAUUCUCGCUGAAAGGACGUUUAGACCAUGCUUCUAGGCGUCGCCCAAGGAGGGGGCCGCGACCGAUCAGGUUGUUGGUGAGGUAACGGCUCACCAAGCCUUUAACCGGUACGGGCCGUGAGAGCGGGAGCCCGGAGAUGGGCACUGAGACAAGGGCCCAGGCCCUACGGGGCGCAGCAGUCGCGAAAACUCCGCAAUACACGAAAGUGUGACGGGGCUAUCCCGAGUGCCAUCCGCUGAGGAUGGCUUUUCCCCAGUGUAUAAAGCUGGGGGAAUAAGGAGAGGGCAAGCCUGGUGUCAGCCGCCGCGGUAAUACCAGCUCUCCGAGUGGUGGGGAUGUUUAUUGGGCCUAAAGCAUUCGUAGCCUGCUUGGCAAGUCCUCCGUUAAAUCCAACGAUUCAAUCGUUGGGCUGCGGGGGAUACUGUCCGGCUAGGGGGCGGGAGAGGCCGACGGUAUCCCCGGGGUAGGGGUGAAAUCCUAUAAUCCCGGGAGGACCACCAGUGGCGAAGGCUGUCGGCUAGAACGUGCUCGACGGUGAGGGAUGAAAGCUGGGGGAGCGAACCGGAUUAGAUACCCGGGUAGUCCCAGCUGUAAACGAUGCAGGCU